CCCUUCCCUGGUUCACCCUCCCCCACUCCCUCACCCCUUCGCGUCUCUGCCCACCCCUCCCAGAAGCCGCAGACCCAGGGCUAGCUCCCGCAGUUCGCUCCGCCCCUGACUCUACUCCUCGUACUUGUACAGCCAAUCAAAGAGGCUAACUCUGCCCCUUCUCCGGAGGCGGCCAAUGUGGAGAGACUUCGGAUCCACCUCCUUCCCAGCUGAGAGCACACAACACAGCAUCCACGUGAGUCAGCUUCUUAAAGGAGAAGGCUCAGCCUUUCUAAUUGCGGCAGCUGUAAGACAUCGCGCGUCAUCAGCGUCACCAGGUGGUGGCUAAGGCCUACCUUUUUGAGACCCAGUGAUGACAAAUGAAAACAACAGGCUGUUUUUCUAAGGCAAAGCAGGUGCCUUGAUAGUUAACACCUUACCGUGUCGUUAAUUUCUUUGAGAUUGCUUACUUUUGUCAUGCCUUAAAAAAGGCCACCUUUUGUUGACAAACCCCAAACCCUUUGAAUCUCGGUGUAUAGGAGAUCCGGAAGAACAUGGGAAAAGGCAUUUUUCAAGUGUGCCCGACUGAAUUUACAACUCGAGUUUUCUUUUGGUAGUGGAAAUGAUUAUCAAGAGGAUGAGAAAAUUCCACAUAGAGAUUUCUACCUCUGAAAGUCCGAUAUUUGUUGAAGAAGGUAGCUGUUCCCCCUAACCCUCAUCGACGCCUAAGAUAGGUUUUGCGUCUCAUCUUAUUUGAGUUUCCCAGAUGAGUAAACUGAAGCACAGUGAUUAACAUGCCUAAGGUCACCCAGUAGAGUUAUUAUACUCUGUAAUCGUAAACUUGGAAGAGAAUGAUGAAAAGGUUAAUCUAGAUGACGACGACGUGCAGAGUUAAAAUCCAAAUGUGAGCCUCCACGUGCCUGUCCCUUCCUGAAGCUGCAUGCUUGAUGGAAGAUGGAAGAUGACCUUCCCUGAGUGAGAGAAGGACUGUUCUUCCGUCAAAGGUAUACAAGUAGCUGCACUCUUUUGCUAGAACCCCCAAACAAGCUCUCAAAGUCCAUUUGUAGGAGAAUGUAGGGUAGUCAAGCUUCCAAGACUCCAGACUCAUUGCAGUGAGGCACAGCACACAGAAGUUUGCCUUUCUUUAAAAAACGAGAGAGAUUGCUACAUAAAAGGGGACACCAGGGGUGUGUAAAAUAGAAAAAACCAUGUGAGGACGCAGAAGGCCACCUGCAAGCCAAGGAGUGAGACCUUGGUAGAAAACCAAUCUGCUGACACCUUGAACUUGGACUUCUAGCCUCCAGAACUAUGAGAAAUAAAUUUCUGUUGUGUAAGCCACCUAGUGUAUGGGAUUUUGUUGAAUCAGUCCUAGGAAACUAACAGAGGGGAUUACUGUGAGUGGAACUUACUUCUACUACAUAUUACAACUCUUCUUGGUUGAAAAUUAUU
Molecule: long non-coding RNA, 1428 nt
Organism: Mustela lutreola (European mink)
Lineage: Eukaryota; Metazoa; Chordata; Mammalia; Carnivora; Mustelidae
Exons: 3
Source: RefSeq, a predicted model, not a curated record